This 267-nucleotide long non-coding RNA is filed under the name Panax ginseng (ginseng). RNAcentral's name for it is "long non-coding RNA (PGIN_LNC006707)". The record is from RNAcentral. Lineage: Eukaryota; Viridiplantae; Streptophyta; Magnoliopsida; Apiales; Araliaceae.
AAAAAAAAACCAACCUGAUGAUCCUUUUCUGAUUAUUUCGUACACAACUUCCCUCACAAUAUAAUUAGAGGCGGCUUUCUCAUUUUCUCUUUCUAAGGUUGUAUAAGGAAAAAAAUAAGAUUAGGUUUAGUUAUUUAUUUAUUAAUAAAUCUUAUUAAUUCUCCUAAUUAUAAUUGGAUUUAUUACUACCCACAUUUAAUUAAAUUAAACUCAAUUAAUUUUAAAGGUCCAAAUUGUACUAAAUUAAUUUACCCAUCUCUUAUUAAU